CCAAUAGCGUAUAUUAAAGUUGUUGCAGUUAAAAAGCUCGUAGUUGAAUUUCGGGGUUAGUAGGUUGGUCAUGCCUCUGGUAUGUACUGGUCUCACUGAUUCCUCCUUCCUGAUGAAUCUUAAUGCCAUUUAUUUGGUGUUUUGGGGAAUUUGGACUGUUACUUUGAAAAAAUUAGAGUGUUUAAAGCAAGCUAACGCUUGAAUACAUUAGCAUGGAAUAAUGAAAUAGGACGUUCGAUCCUAUUUUGUUGGUUUCUAGGAUUGACGUAAUGAUUAAUAGGGAUAGUUGGGGGCAUUAGUAUUCAAUUGUCAGAGGUGAAAUUCUUGGAUUUAUUGAAGACUAACUACUGCGAAAGCAUUUGCCAAGGAUGUUUUCAUUAAUCAAGAACGAAAGUUAGGGGAUCGAAGACGAUCAGAUACCGUCGUAGUCUUAACCAUAAACUAUGCCGACUAGGGAUCGGAUGAUGUUAAUUUUUUAAUGACUCAUUCGGCGCCUUACG
Molecule: ribosomal RNA, 500 nt
Filed under: uncultured Glomeromycotina
Lineage: Eukaryota; Fungi; Glomeromycota
Description: partial small subunit ribosomal RNA
Rfam family: Eukaryotic small subunit ribosomal RNA
Source: RNAcentral